GAUGCUCUCCAGCACAUUGAUGCGUUUGUGAGCAGGCAAGUGCCUGGGACCAUCAGACUCUACCUUGCCACAAAAAUGGAAGAGUCCUAACAGAAGAUACUCCCGUUGUAUUCAGGACUGAUUUGCAGGAUCAGAGCAAAGGAUGGCCUAUACCCAAAGCAGGGGCAGAUCUUUACCCUGCUACAUCUAUUCAUUCACAAAUUACAGGUAAGGAUAUUACCCUUUACAGCAUGAGUGAGCAAGCAUAGUGAGGUUCAACCAGUUACUUCCAGCUCUGUUCUUACACCAGAGUCCCAUCCAUAAGUGAAUGACCUGAGCAGUAUGUUGAGUGUUGUGAGACUGUAAACUGUGAGGAAAACACUGCGAGAGGAAGUAAAAGGACUCUCAAUGCUGUGUUGGUCUUCUUUAUUACUUCUUAAAGAGAAAGCUAUACUUCUCCUUGACUUAAGCAACAUACAAUCCUGCUCUGAAAGAAUCAAGAGAAAGGGCUGACUUUGUUUUGCAGAAGACUGUGGUGUUUCAGAGUAUGGUUUCUUUCUGUUGGGAACAAUACCCUAUUUAGAAAAAAAAGGCGUGAAGCUGUGGCUUCAGUGAACAGGAGGGGGACUGCCCCAGAGCCAUAAGCCGUGGGAGUCCCCACGCAGCAGGCUGCCCCACAGCUGUGGACACUGAGAACUCCAGCUAUCAAGGAAGAAUGAGCCUGGAAGCCCUGAGAGCCACGGCUCCCAGCACUUCCCAGAUCUCUGCCAAGGAACCAGGUCAGCAAGCUGUCAGGAAGCUGGGUAGGGUUCUCAUUGAAACACCAGAUUUUGACAAGUCAGCAAAUGCUCAAUUAAAAACAUGUCAGAUUUUUUCCAACCAGCUCUACUCGCAAUUUAAACAAAUAAAGGGUGUGGGGAGGAAACACUGUCCUUAUUUUACACUAGGGGGACUGAGGCAGAGAUACUAACUUAUGCCAGGUGCUGCAGAAAGUCUGCAGUCAGAAGGCAAACUUAGAUUCCAUAAUGACAAGAGUAUCCUUCCGCUAGCCUUAAUGAAUUUGCCAUUGCAAAGACCUUGUGAGGUAAGUAUCACUUUCGUUUUAAUAGAUGGGGCAAUGAAAUAAUUGUACAACAACAGAUAGGAAGCCUGUAGCUGAGACAGGACAUGAACCCAGUGUUCCUAAAGGUGCUAGGCAUACCUGUUUCUUUCAUGGACAAGGUACACACACAAGAUUCAGUCACUUUUGGAUGACCUUACUUGACUAACCAUACUAAUUGCAGCAAUU
This is a long non-coding RNA of Pogoniulus pusillus (Red-fronted tinkerbird), 1267 nucleotides long. RefSeq lists it as uncharacterized. NCBI's taxonomy places the organism in Eukaryota, Metazoa, Chordata, Aves, Piciformes, Lybiidae. The transcript is spliced from 3 exons. The record is from RefSeq and is a predicted model, not a curated record.